RNAcentral lists this ribosomal RNA (497 nucleotides) under uncultured bacterium. Its description in RNAcentral is "partial 16S ribosomal RNA". It matches the Rfam family "Bacterial small subunit ribosomal RNA", at positions 28 to 507 of the family's 1533-position model. The record is from RNAcentral.
GAUGAACGCUGGCGGCGUGCCUAAUACAUGCAAGUCGAGCGAACGGACGAGAAGCUUGCUUCUCUGAUGUUAGCGGCGGACGGGUGAGUAACACGUGGAUAACCUACCUAUAAGACUGGGAUAACUUCGGGAAACCGGAGCUAAUACCGGAUAAUAUUUUGAACCGCAUGGUUCAAAAGUAAAAGACGGUCUUGCUGUCACUUAUAGAUGGAUCCGCGCUGCAUUAGCUAGUUGGUAAGGUAACGGCUUACCAAGGCAACGAUGCAUAGCCGACCUGAGAGGGUGAUCGGCCACACUGGAACUGAGACAAGGUCCAGACUCCUACGGGAGGCAGCAGUAGGGAAUCUUCCGCAAAGGGCGAAAGCCUGACGGAGCAACGCCGCGUGAGUGAUGAAGGUCUUCGGAUCGUAAAACUCUGUUAUUAGGGAAGAACAUAUGUGUAAGUAACUGUGCACGUCUUGACGGUACCUAAUCAGAAAGCCACGGCUAACUACGUG